This is a non-coding RNA of Pangasius djambal, 75 nucleotides long. The record is from the annotation of a GenBank genome assembly. Lineage: Eukaryota; Metazoa; Chordata; Actinopteri; Siluriformes; Pangasiidae.
GGAACGGUGGUGGAGCGGUUAGCACGCUUGCCUCGCAUCCCUGGGGUCUGAGGUUCGAUUCCCACCUCCGUCCCC